This 69-nucleotide transfer RNA is filed under the name Polypedilum unifascium. RNAcentral's name for it is "tRNA-His". Lineage: Eukaryota; Metazoa; Arthropoda; Insecta; Diptera; Chironomidae. The record is from RNAcentral.
AUUUAAAUAGUUUAUUUUAAAAUUUUGAUUUGUGGUAUCAAAGAUAUAACUUUCAUGUUAUUUUAAAUC